RNAcentral lists this ribosomal RNA (232 nucleotides) under Actinomyces sp. RNAcentral's name for it is "partial 16S ribosomal RNA". It matches the Rfam family "Bacterial small subunit ribosomal RNA", at positions 1 to 225 of the family's 1533-position model. Lineage: Bacteria; Bacillati; Actinomycetota; Actinomycetes; Actinomycetales; Actinomycetaceae. The record is from RNAcentral.
UUGUUCGGAGAGUUUGAUCCUGGCUCAGGACGAACGCUGGCGGCGUGCUUAACACAUGCAAGUCGAACGCUGAAGACCUGGCUUUUGUUGGGUUGGAUGAGUGGCGAACGGGUGAGUAACACGUGAGUAACCUGCCCUCUUCUUUGGGAUAACGCCCGGAAACGGGUGCUAAUACUGGAUAUUCACUGGCCUUCGCAUGGGGGUUGGUGGAAAGGUUUGUUCUGGUGGGGGA